Molecule: ribosomal RNA, 492 nt
Filed under: uncultured bacterium
Lineage: Bacteria
Description: partial 16S ribosomal RNA
Rfam family: Bacterial small subunit ribosomal RNA
Source: RNAcentral
AGUGAACGCUGGCGGUAGGCCUAACACAUGCAAGUCGAACGGCAGCACAGUAAGAGCUUGCUCUUACGGGUGGCGAGUGGCGGACGGGUGAGGAAUACAUCGGAAUCUACUUUUUCGUGGGGGAUAACGUAGGGAAACUUACGCUAAUACCGCAUACGACCUACGGGUGAAAGCAGGGGAUCUUCGGACCUUGCGCGAUUGAAUGAGCCGAUGUCGGAUUAGCUAGUUGGCGGGGUAAAGGCCCACCAAGGCGACGAUCCGUAGCCGGUCUGAGAGGAUGAUCGGCCACACUGGAACUGAGACACGGUCCAGACUCCUACGGGAGGCAGCAGUGGGGAAUAUUGGACAAUGGGCGCAAGCCUGAUCCAGCCAUACCGCGUGGGUGAAGAAGGCCUUCGGGUUGUAAAGCCCUUUUGUUGGGAAAGAAAAGCAGCAGGUUAAUACCCCGCUGUUCUGACGGUACCCAAAGAAUAAGCACCGGCUAACUUCGUG